GCCACACUGACAGAUGACUCAGUAAGCUUUCGUAACUGUGCACGGACCCGUCAUCUGAUUCAUCAGAAAAAUGUGCAUCUAACAGCUUUGUAGCAGUUCAUGGAUUAUGAAGGCAAGUUGGAAGUUACUCUGGAGCAACAGGGUGGCUCACUGGUUAGCACUGCUGCCUCACACCUCUUCAGCAGGCUUCGAGUCUAAUCCCUUGGUCUACAUGUGUGGAAUUGCGCUUAGAAUCCGAUGCCGAUCCGUAGCUUGCGAACCGGACGCCGGUCUCACACACGAGUGGGCUUUUGCUCCGUAUCCUUGUCAUAAAGCAUCGAGGCUAUUUUGAAAUAUUUUCCUAGCGCUUUGCUUAAUGGAUUUCCCCCUUGUCGCUCCCUUUCUUAAGAGUGCUCCGGGGAGCCCUGCUCUUUGCCGGCUUGUUUUUUCACCUGCCCGCGAUAGAGAGGCUGAUUUACGCCGACUUCAGGGUAAAAUCCCCUCCGUGGCUUCACUGAUCUGCUGUUACAGUCCACAUGUGUCAUUUUCAUCAUCAGCCCCUCACCUCUUUGGGGAGAAGAGGUUGCAGCAGCUGCAGACUCCAGUUUCGCUGAGUACCCUUACUGGACGGGCUGCUUUGGACUCAGCUGCUCUCCCG
Brienomyrus brachyistius is the source of this 637-nucleotide long non-coding RNA. RefSeq lists it as uncharacterized. The transcript has 4 exons. The record is from RefSeq and is a predicted model, not a curated record. Lineage: Eukaryota; Metazoa; Chordata; Actinopteri; Osteoglossiformes; Mormyridae.